RNAcentral lists this ribosomal RNA (722 nucleotides) under uncultured bacterium. RNAcentral's name for it is "bacterial SSU rRNA". It matches the Rfam family "Bacterial small subunit ribosomal RNA", at positions 28 to 781 of the family's 1533-position model. The record is from RNAcentral.
GAUGAACCGCACAAGACGUGCCUAACACAUGCAAAUCGAAUGAAAAGAAUUAAUUAUUGUUUUCAUGGUGAACGGGUGAGUAACACAUAAGAAUCGCUUUUAGAUAAGGCAUAAAAGAGUAAUAUCUUGGUAAUUCCUUAUAUGCGCAGCAGUGCUUAAAAAGGGGAGUCCCGUCUAAAAACGAGCUUAUGCCUGAUUAGCUAGUUGGCGAGUUAAAAGCUCACCAAGGCGAAGAUCAGUAGCUGGCCUGAGAGGGCGGCCAGCCACAUUGGGACUGAGACACGGCCCAAACUCCUACGGGAGGCAGCAGUGGGGAAUCUUCUGCAAUGGGCGCAAGCCUGACAGAGCGGCGUCGUGUGAAGGAAGAAGGCCUGAAAUAGGUUGUAAACUUCUUUUACUGAAUAAUGAAUAAUGACAACGCAGUAAAAAAGUAUCGGCUAACUCCGUGCCAGCAGCCGCGGUAAUACGGGGGAUGCAAGCGUUAUCCGGAAUCACUGGGCGUAAAGCGUCUGUAGGUGGUUUAGUGUGUUCUUAGUUAAAUUCUGAAGCCUAACUUCAUGAAAAGUAAGAAAACUAUUAGACUUGAGUACGAUAGGGGUAAGAGGAAUUCUUCGAGAAGUAGUGAAAUGCGAAGAUACGAAGGAGAAGAUCAUAAGCGAAGGCUUCUUACUGGGUCGUAACUGACACUGAGAGACGAAAGCUAGGGGAGCGAAUGGGAUUAG